GCCCGGUUAGCUCAAUCGGUAGAGCGUGAGACUCUUACAGAGUACACAAAUCUCAAGGCUGCGGGUUCGACCCCCGCAUUGGGCU
Molecule: transfer RNA, 85 nt
Filed under: Thelonectria olida
Lineage: Eukaryota; Fungi; Ascomycota; Sordariomycetes; Hypocreales; Nectriaceae
Rfam family: tRNA
About the family: Transfer RNA (tRNA) molecules are approximately 80 nucleotides in length. Their secondary structure includes four short double-helical elements and three loops (D, anti-codon, and T loops).
Source: Rfam by way of RNAcentral